RNAcentral lists this unclassified non-coding RNA (1830 nucleotides) under Polistes canadensis. RNAcentral describes it as "glycerol kinase-like, transcript variant X2". The record is from RNAcentral. Lineage: Eukaryota; Metazoa; Arthropoda; Insecta; Hymenoptera; Vespidae.
AUAUGAAUGUGUGUGUGUGUGUUUGUGUAUUUACUAUGGAUAUAGUAUAUUGGGAUAUUUAUUGUUUAACAAUUUUUAGUACUAUGUUUAUUUCAAGUAUAAAUUCAUUAUCUUUCUAAGUGAUUGCAUAUUAAUUAUAUAUAUAUUAUAUUUAUUCAGUUUAUAUACGAUCAAUAAUUUGAAUUCAAAUGUUGAAUGAUACUGAAUAAAUAACUUGUGGUUAAAGUUUUCCUAAUAAUUCAGGCAAAUGAAUAAAAAUGAUUCGAUGAGUAGAUAUGGACCACUCGUCGGUGCAAUUGAUGAAGGCACCAGUAGCGCUAGAUUUUUGGUAUUUGCUGCGGAGACAGCCGAAGUGUUAACGUAUCAUCAAAUUCCAAUAAGUCAGACUUAUCCGAAGGAAGGAUGGGUUGAACAAGAUCCCAUAGAAAUCUUAAACGCAGUGAGAGAAUGUCUUCGUCAAACUGUAUUUAAUUUAGAACAAUUAACUAUAGAUCCGACUGAUAUUGUUGCUAUUGGGAUAACUAAUCAAAGAGAAACGACUGUUGUAUGGGAUUCUGUUACGGGAAGACCAUUGUAUAAUGCAAUUGUAUGGAUGGAUAUGAGAACUACUUCUAUAAUAGAUGACAUGUUAAAAGGGAUAUGGAAUCGGAACAAAAACUAUCUGAAGUCACUCUGUGGUUUACCUAUUAGCCCUUAUUUUAGUGCAUUAAAAUUAAAAUGGUUACUUGAAAAUGUACCAGAAGUUCAAGAAUCCUUAGCCAAAGAUCAAUGUAUGUUUGGGACAAUAGAUACCUGGCUAAUUUGGAAUUUAACUGGAGGAGUAAAUGGUGGUGUUCAUACUACAGAUGUUACUAAUGCUUCGAGGACUAUGCUUAUGAAUAUUAGAACAUUACAAUGGGAUCCAAAACUACUAUCAUUUUUUCAAAUACCAUCAAGUAUUCUGCCACAAAUACGAAGUUCGUCAGAAAUUUAUGGAUAUAUCCAGGAUGAUAUUCUUCAUGGUGUACCAAUAUCUGGAUGUUUAGGAGAUCAACAAUCAGCACUUGUAGGUCAGUUAUGUUUUCAACAAGGACAAGCUAAAAGUACAUACGGUACUGGGUGCUUUCUUUUGUACAAUACAGGCACUGCUAUUGUAGAUUCAUCUCAGGGUUUAUUAACCACAGUUGCAUAUCAAUUGGGUGCAAAUGCAACACCAGUUUAUGCUCUUGAAGGCUCUAUAGCAAUUGCUGGUGCUGCUAUUAAAUGGUUAAAAAAUAAUCUUGGAAUAUUAUCUAACGUAAAGGAAAGUGAAGCUAUGGCAGAAAGUCUUUCUUCCGAUAGUCAUGUCACUUUCGUUCCUGCAUUUUCAGGUUUAUAUGCACCAUAUUGGAGAAAAGAUGCUAGAAGUGUUAUAUGUGGACUAACAGAGAGAUCGACAAAUGCCCACAUUGUAAAAGCAGCUUUGCAAUCCGUAUGUUUUCAAAUAAGAGAUGUUUUAGAAGCCAUGAAGAAAGAUACAGGAAUAAUAUUAUCUAAGUUAUUAGUAGAUGGUGCCAUGACUAGUAAUGAUUUAUUAAUGCAAAUGCAAGCCGAUAUAUGUGGUACACCAGUGAAAAGUCAGACCUUUAAUGGCUGAAACAACUGCUCUUGGAGCUGCAAUAGCUGCAGGUAGUGCCGAAGGUAUACGUAAAUGGGAUAUAAAAACAGGAUCAAUUGUACCGAGUGACAUUUUCUUGCCUUCCAUAAGUGAAGAAGAAAGCAACAUCUUGUAUUCGCAAUGGAAAGAAGGCAUUAAUAGAAGUUUAGGAUGGAAGACAAUUACUAAUACAGAUGAUAACAAAAUAAUGAAAA